RNAcentral lists this transfer RNA (90 nucleotides) under Candidatus Cloacimonadota bacterium. RNAcentral describes it as "tRNA-Ser". It matches the Rfam family "tRNA". From Rfam's summary of the family: Transfer RNA (tRNA) molecules are approximately 80 nucleotides in length. Their secondary structure includes four short double-helical elements and three loops (D, anti-codon, and T loops). Lineage: Bacteria; Pseudomonadati; Candidatus Cloacimonadota. The record is from RNAcentral.
GGAGACGUGUCCGAGUGGCUGAAGGAGCACGCUUGGAAAGCGUGUAUGCGGGUAACUGCAUCCAGGGUUCGAAUCCCUGCGUCUCCGCCA